CAGACACAGCCCACUGAGUUUCUCGCUGGAUCUUCUCAGUGGGUCGCGUUUCCGAUCCGGUGGUAGAUUCUGCGAAGCACGGCUCUUGCUAGGGCCAGUGUUAGCAACACUCCGGUUUGAGCCCCGUGAGCUCACCUACACGUUAGGGUGAAGCUGAAAUAGCCUCUCAAGGCUACCAGCAUAGAUAUCUUGACACACCGGUGAAGGAAGCAUGGUCCGCUUAUGGCGGAGACAUGACACUCAUGAAACGAAGGCGUGCACGCGUUAGCGAACCUGAUUGGGCGGUGCGCGUUGACGUAGAAGAUAGAUAUUGUUUUAUCUGAAGUUUUCAAGUGGGUUCAGACUACUUUGAGAGCUGGAUUAUAUGGAGAGCAUCUAUUAAAGGCCUCCGCAAUGUGUUGUUUUAUAAAUUUUGUUACAGUGCUCAUAAAUGUUGGUACUGAAAGUUUUUUUUGGAGUUUACUCCUUUAGAAUCGAUUUACAUAUAUAGGCCCGGGGUAUGAAAAUUAUGGGGACCAAAAUCGUACUAGCAUGUCACACGAAAUGCGUUAUGCGCCUGAUUGGCUCCUGAUUGCGUGAUGCGUGCGCGCGCCAAUCAGGAGCCAACGCGCGGCCGCGUUAUCGCAGGUGACGCCGGGCUGCUGCGCCGGCACUCGGCAGUCCGCCACAAAGCCUCGUACUGAUCGCGCGUUUCUCUCAUUAUUGUAUUUUCAUAUAUUUGUUAGUCGUUUGUUUUGUGUCUCGUUAAUUUGUUAAUAAUCUGUAGUGUAUCGUGUUGUCGUAAUAUAGAACUAUUUCUCGUA
Molecule: long non-coding RNA, 803 nt
Organism: Bombyx mori (domestic silkworm)
Lineage: Eukaryota; Metazoa; Arthropoda; Insecta; Lepidoptera; Bombycidae
Exons: 2
Source: RefSeq, a predicted model, not a curated record